This 1187-nucleotide long non-coding RNA is filed under the name Homo sapiens (human). RNAcentral's name for it is "HSALNT0033269". The record is from RNAcentral. Lineage: Eukaryota; Metazoa; Chordata; Mammalia; Primates; Hominidae.
CUUUAGUAUUUCUGGCUGUCCCUCGCCCAGCCUUGUUGUGUUUUUGGCUCCAACUGACUACACCUGCGACUCUUCUUGUGAAGACUGCCUGCCUCUAGGCUACUGGAGUGAUUUGGCUGGUGAGUACAGAGAGGAGGAAGUGCCUGGAGUUUACUUCCUGACCUCCUAUGUGAGCCCUUAGCCUGUGACUGCCUCUGGGGGAGUGUGAAAGUCCAGCUCCCUUGCCUUAGGUUGGGACAACUCUGAGGUGUAAUUUACACACUAGAGCUCCCUGGCAGGACUUUGCUUGGCUUCUUCCCCUGCACUGCCCUGCUCCCCAGCUCCCAGGGGCACUGCCUUCAUAGACCACUUGCUUAUGAACUGUCAUCUCAGGCUCUGCUUCUGGAGAAUUGGAUCUAUGAUAGUGUGGUAUUCGAAGAACAGUCCUGAUGAUGAAGCAGCCACUGGUAAAUCUUGAGAGGGUGGAGUAGUGAGAAGCAGAUGUCAGCUUGCAAAGGGCUGAGGAGUGAGUGGAUGAUAAGGAACUGGCUGGAGAUGUCAGCAGAGGAUAUUCAAUCAAGAAGUUUGAUGAAAUCUGAAGACCCGACCUUACUAUUGGCAAAGACAGACAAACACUCUACAAAUAGUGCUUGAAAAAUGCCACUGUUUGGUUCAGAUGGUGAAGAGGAACUCAGGAAGGCCUGGCAGUCUCUAGGAGGCUAGGGCAGUGGUUCUCAAAUGAUAGGGUGUACAGAAAUUCCCUGGAGGACUUGUGACAACAAAGAUUGCUAGGCCUACUCCCAGGGUUUCUAAUUCAGCAGGUCUGGGGAUGGAGCUCAAGUAUCUGCAUUUCUAACAAGUCCCCGGUGGUGCUGAUGCUGCUUGCAUGGACCAGUUUUGAGAACCAUACUUGGAGAAACACUUGGUUAGGAAAACUAUGUCUGUUACAGAUUGAUCAAAGGGCUCUUAAGUUCCUUUUGUACAAUAAAUCACUGCGAUAUCAAAUGAGGUAAAUGAACAUGCUCUUUGAACUCUUAACUUCUAGACCAAUAUAAAACAUUCUAAAUAUGAAAUGGAAACAUUUACAAUUGUUAUUGAUUCUCAUCAAUGCAAUGUUCAAUAAAGAUAAGAAUCACGUUUUCAGUCUCCACUCUUGAUUUUCUGCUUUGAUAUGGAUUUUUAGUUUUGCUUUCUUCUGAUAUGCUGGG